This 403-nucleotide ribosomal RNA is filed under the name uncultured bacterium. RNAcentral's name for it is "bacterial SSU rRNA". It matches the Rfam family "Bacterial small subunit ribosomal RNA", at positions 28 to 423 of the family's 1533-position model. The record is from RNAcentral.
GACGAACGCNGGCGGCGUGCCUAAUACAUGCAAGUAGAACGCUGAAGGAGGAGCUUGCUCUUCUGGAUGAGUUGCGAACGGGUGAGUAACGCGUAGGUAACCUGCCUGGUAGCGGGGGAUAACUAUUGGAAACGAUAGCUAAUACCGCAUAAGAGUAGAUGUUGCAUGACAUUUGCUUAAAAGGUGCAAUUGCAUCACUACCAGAUGGACCUGCGUUGUAUUAGCUAGUUGGUGAGGUAACGGCUCACCAAGGCGACGAUACAUAGCCGACCUGAGAGGGUGAUCGGCCACACUGGGACUGAGACACGGCCCAGACUCCUACGGGAGGCAGCAGUAGGGAAUCUUCGGCAAUGGACGGAAGUCUGACCGAGCAACGCCGCGUGAGUGAAGAAGGUUUUCGGAU